This 513-nucleotide ribosomal RNA is filed under the name Odontotermes brunneus. RNAcentral's name for it is "partial 28S ribosomal RNA". The record is from RNAcentral. Lineage: Eukaryota; Metazoa; Arthropoda; Insecta; Blattodea; Termitidae.
ACGUGAAACCGUUCAGGGGUAACCUGCGAAACUCGAAUGAACGAACGGAGAGAUUCAUCGUCCCUCGGCGGCGUACGGUCGUACACCUCGAUGUCGUGCUUGCGUUACGUAAGUGGGAUAUCGUAUGACGCGGGUCGCGUCCGUCGACUUUCGCCGAAGGCGUGCACUUCUCUCUUAUUAAUACAUCGCGACCCGUUCGAGGUCGGCGUAAGCGACGUUCGGGAGUCCAAUUGUCGCGUUCACGCACUGCGGCUGGACCGGGACGGAGGCCUGCCGGCUGUCGGACGGUAAUACAAAAUCUUACAAUAUACGAAUCGCGCACGCGUCUCAAAACGCGUCCGGCCCGACGCAAGCGUGCGCCGAUAAUGUCUCUGUCCUGCCCGAGUGCGGAUAGGGGCGCGGUGCUGCUGUCUGUCGCUGCCGUGCUGUCUCGGACUGUGCGCGUAUCCGUCUGCGAUGAUUCAUUUUCGGGCACUCGCAGGACCCGUCUUGAAACACGGACCAAAGGAGUCU